AUUGAACGCUGGCGGCAGGCCUAACACAUACAAGUCGAACGGUAACAGGAAGCAGCUUGCUGCUUUGCUGACGAGUGGCGGACGGGUGAGUAAUGUCUGGGAAACUGCCUGAUGGAGGGGGAUAACUACUGGAAACGGUAGCUAAUACCGCAUAACGUCGCAAGACCAAAGAGGGGGACCUUAGGGCCUCUUGCCAUCGGAUGUGCCCAGAUGGGAUUAGCUAGUAGGUGGGGUAACGGCUCACCUAGGCGACGAUCCCUAGCUGGUCUGAGAGGAUGACCAGCCACACUGGAACUGAGACACGGUCCAGACUCCUACGGGAGGCAGCAGUGGGGAAUAUUGCACAAUGGGCGCAAGCCUGAUGCAGCCAUGCCGCGUGUAUGAAGAAGGCCUUCGGGUUGUAAAGUACUUUCAGCGGGGAGGAAGGGAGUAAAGUUAAUACCUUUGCUCAUUGACGUUACCCGCAGAAGAAGCACCGGCUAACUCCGUG
This 490-nucleotide ribosomal RNA is filed under the name uncultured bacterium. Its description in RNAcentral is "partial 16S ribosomal RNA". It matches the Rfam family "Bacterial small subunit ribosomal RNA", at positions 30 to 507 of the family's 1533-position model. The record is from RNAcentral.